UACAGAGGGGGCAAGCGUUGUUCGGAAUUACUGGGCGUAAAGGGCGCGUAGGCGGCCGCCUAAGUCAGACGUGAAAUCCCUCGGCUCAACCGGGGAACUGCGUCUGAUACUGGGUGGCUUGAAUCCGGGAGAGGGAUGCGGAAUUCCAGGUGUAGCGGUGAAAUGCGUAGAUAUCUGGAGGAACACCGGUGGCGAAGGCGACAUCCUGGACCGGCAUUGACGCUGAGGCGCGAAAGCCAGGGGAGCAAACGGG
This 253-nucleotide ribosomal RNA is filed under the name uncultured bacterium. Its description in RNAcentral is "partial 16S ribosomal RNA". It matches the Rfam family "Bacterial small subunit ribosomal RNA", at positions 524 to 776 of the family's 1533-position model. The record is from RNAcentral.